This 1377-nucleotide ribosomal RNA is filed under the name Triticum aestivum (bread wheat). RNAcentral describes it as "partial small subunit ribosomal RNA". The record is from RNAcentral. Lineage: Eukaryota; Viridiplantae; Streptophyta; Magnoliopsida; Poales; Poaceae.
AUGGCAAUGUCGAGGCUCAUACGCUCAGCGACAAUCAGCCUCAGCCUAGACACACCUGACGAGAUCAGGUGGAACCUGGAAGCCAGCGGCUGCUACUCCGCUUCCUCUGCAUACAGCGCAGUUCCAGGCGAACUACACCACCAGUUUCAGGAUGCUUAUCUGGGAGAUCUGGGCGCCGGGGAAAUUGUGGAGAACACCAAACCAGAGCAUGGAAAGGGCAUCAAGUCCGUCAUGGUGCUGAGGUUUGGUGGAGUGGAAUCGAUGCACUUUCAGGAACAAGGAGGCCUCUGUCCAAGAGAUCCUCAAACCUGUGCUAGAACAAGGACAAUAUCGCCGAGAAGGCACAGCGGGUCCUCGACAGCUUCCCCGAGAGGGGCCUCCAUUCACUAUAGCAAUUGCUUACCAGGGAGACCGGCCGGCAAGGCACCUCGGGAUAGGGACCAACAUGCACCCGUCGGCGGCGCUGUUCGGCCGCCGCGGCAGCGACAGCGGCGGUGCCGGUGGUCGGUGGAGGAGCUGGUGGAGAGCGCGGACGGGUUCGCGGGCGUGUUCCCGAAGCACAGGCACGAGAUCGUGCGGCUCCUUCAGGCCAAGGGCCACGUGUGCGGGAUGACGGGCGACGGCGUGAACGACGCGCCGGCGCUGAAGAAGGCCGACAUCGGCAUCGCGGUGUCGGAAGCGACGGACGCCGCCAGGGCCGCCUACGGCAUCGUGCUCACUUCAGUUCAGAUACCAAGAAACUACACGUCAGUUGUGGUAGUUUCUACCUCGUCGAUACAGAUUAAUGAUGUGUGCAUCACCAUACGGAUGGUGGUUGGGUUUGUUAUUCUGGCAUGGAUAUGGGAGUACGACUUCCCUCCAUCCAUGGCUCUCAUCAUAGCCAUACUGAACGACCGUAAUGACCGGGUUAAACCGCCACGGAGCCCGGAAAGCUGGAAGCUCAACGAGAUAUUCGCCACCAUUAUCGUCAGCAGAACCUACCUCGCACUGGUCACGCCGGUCUACUGGGCAGUCACCAGAACCACAUUCUUCGAGGUUAGCACAUCCAAGACUGAACUGAUGAAACGUCUCUUUCGAUCCAUCGCGCUGAUGUUUCUGAAACUGCAGUCUCACUUCAAGGUACGUGUACAGCCUCUGAAGGGAGACGCCGAGGUGUCAUCGGCGGUGUACCUGCAGGUUGAACAUCACCAGCUAGGACCGGAUACUCGUGACCCGCAGCGGUGCCUCUCCUUCCUCGACCGGCCGGGGGCUCUGCUCGGCUGCGCUUUCGUCGUGGCUACACUGGUGGCAGUGUACGUCACCGUCGGCUUCGAGUCGAUCAGCGGGUGGCUCUUGGCUGGCGUCAUCUGGCUCUACAGCAAGGUUGCAAAUAAGUAA